CCUACGGGUGGCAGCAGUGGGGAAUAUUGGGCAAUGGAGGCAACUCUGCCCCAGCAACGCCGCGUGAAUGAUGAAGGUCUUCGGAUGGUAAAGUUCUUUUCUAAGGGAAGACGAAAGUGACGGUACCUCAGGAAUAAGUCUCGGCUACCUACGUGCCAGCAGCCGCGGUAAUACGUAGGAGGCAAGCGUUACGCGGAAGGACUGGGCGUAAAGGGUGCGGAGGUGGUUUGACAAGUUAGUAGCGAAACUCCGGAGCUCAACUUCGGAACUCCUUAUGAAACUGUUGGACUGGAGUUUAGGAGGGGAGAGUGGAAGUCCUGGUGUAGCGGUGGAAGGCGUAGAUAUUAGGAGGAACACCAGUGGCGAAGGCGGAUAUCGAGACUGUAACUGACGCUGAGGCACGAAAGCGUGGGGAGCAAACAGGAUUAGAUACCCUUGUAGUC
RNAcentral lists this ribosomal RNA (443 nucleotides) under uncultured bacterium. RNAcentral describes it as "partial 16S ribosomal RNA". It matches the Rfam family "Bacterial small subunit ribosomal RNA", at positions 338 to 795 of the family's 1533-position model. The record is from RNAcentral.